Numida meleagris (helmeted guineafowl) is the source of this 1928-nucleotide long non-coding RNA. RefSeq lists it as uncharacterized. Lineage: Eukaryota; Metazoa; Chordata; Aves; Galliformes; Numididae. The transcript has 3 exons. The record is from RefSeq and is a predicted model, not a curated record.
GGUAGCUACAGAGAUACUAAACUCUUUCCAUUGCCUGUACACAGAACUAUACAUUUAAAAACCUGCAAAGAUCAAACAAUUGCUACGUUAGUUAAGUUAGCUGUAGAAAAACCACCACCCCUGAUGUUGAUUUCCUGCUUGAAAAACCAUAAGCUAAUUGCAGCACAAAAGCUGUGUUUUGAGAGGUCCUCCACUUACAGCAGUUACAGCAUUAAAGCACAUCUGAUACAGAACAACUCGCAAAUCUCUUGCAUGUUCUGUGAAGAAGAUAUUCUGCUUCUUGUAUGCAGUUCAUACUGCUGGAUGGGAUGACAUAGCAUGAAGCAGAGCAAGCUCCAUCCUUUAGUGUUAAAAUUUUCAGUUUCAACUACUCCAGAGAGCAUGCAUUCGGGUUAGUUACCAAGAUUCAUGCACAUGGUUCCGGGAUAACUUCUUCUACGCGACUGAGAAUGAAAAAGCAAUGUGAAGAGAGCAACGGCUUUUCUGUGUAUGAAUGGCCUGAGCACAGGAAGCCUUGCAGAUGCAGCUCCACAGCUUGCUGUCCCUGAGUUCCUUUCCUUGGAAACUUUAUGUGCCGCCCUGCAAAAUACAACCCCAUGGUGAGGAACAAGACUGCUUCAAAACAGAGCCAGGGCAGAAAGAGAAGGUGCACACAGAGGAGAGACUAUGGGUCUUCAGGUGCUGAUAAAGAUCUCAAGGGCAACCUAACAAUUAGCACAGUCAGAAUGCUACAACUCAGCUUCUACCACUAAGAUCUGGGCUGGUAGAUUAAACAGAUUUAGUAUAGUUGACUGGAAGAGUACUCAAUAAUUACAAAAAGGAGCUAUGAGUUUUUCUGAGCUCUUUGAAUUUAAAUGCUGAAAAUUUCUCAGACCUGAUGCACAGCAGCAUUCAGCACUAAGCAUAGUUGAUGUCAUCAGUAAUGUGCACCCCCAGAGAUUCGGAUUUGCAAAUCAUUGUACAGGAAACUGAAAUAUUCAGAGUGACUGGCACUUCUGGAAGCAUUUUAGUUUAAACUAAACAAGAUUAAAUUUUUUUUGAUGAAUUAUGUGAAGACUUAAAUAUUCCAUGACUAUACUGGGAGAUGGGAGGUUUUAUAUAGAAGUCUGAUUCACUGGUUUUAUGGCAAAUUUUAAAAGGAUAAAUAAAACAUUUAUGUUCUCAGCCUCCAUACAAGCAUAAAUAUUGAGGAAAGAGAUAAGAGAAUGUACAGACCAGGUUCAACUGCAAAUAAAUACAGCACAAUAACAACGACAGAGUGGCUUUUAUUAUUUUAUGCCUGUAAAGUACAUGCCCGUAUUUUUGCAGCUUAGUAGAAAGAAAUUUUUGUGUUACUAUUCAGUGUAUAGGCAUUUAUAUUAAGUAUACAGACAAGCAGGCUUUCUAAAUGGUAUGCAUUAAUGGGGAAAGUACAGUCUUCCAUAAUUUUCCAUAGUGCAAUCCAGACCACCUAAAAUUGAGUGGCAAUUUGACUUCUGGCACAGAUGGUCUGAAUAGCCCCUUAGAAUUGCCUUCCUCAGUCAUUGAUUGUAGAGCAUCAAUUUUGUCUUCCAACCUAGAGGCCUAAAAUAAUUCUGCUAAAUAAAAUCUAUACUGCACAGACAUCACUAAGAAAAUCCCCUGCCCUGAGGAUAAGAAGGCAGUGCACUUCGAACAUUUUGAUGGUCUGCAUGCUGAUUUUAUAUGAAGCCAUUUCCAGUAUAGCUCCAAUUAUUCUUUAUCAAAUCGGUUAAACUUUACAGAAUUAAAAUAAUCAAUGUAUUUUUUUGCAAGUAUCCUUGUAUCACCAUCACUACAUGCAUACUUGUGGCAGAGUGGAGAUGUAGUUCUACACAUUUUUGAGAUGGGACAUAGUUUUACAUAGGUUGCUCCAGAAGAAAUGCCUCCUAUUUAUUUUCAUGGAAACUACAACACAUACAAAGAGCACA